Molecule: long non-coding RNA, 998 nt
Filed under: Felis catus (domestic cat)
Lineage: Eukaryota; Metazoa; Chordata; Mammalia; Carnivora; Felidae
Description: lncRNA (ENSFCAG00000053383.1)
Source: RNAcentral
AUGACUGCCUUCGUUCGCUCCCUCCUCCGCCCGGCCCCGCUGGGGUCGCGACGCGCCAGCAGGGCCGCGCCUGCGAGGUCCGGCCCCAGCGCGGGCCCCGCGCCUCCGCCUGCCCGCGCCCGGCAGGCUGCAGCCGCCUCCACCGGCCCGGUUCCUCGAGGCGGGCCUCUGCCGGGGGACUGCGGGCCUCCGGCUUCCGGCCCCGCUUCUCCGGGCCAGAGCGCCGCUCCACCUGGCAACCGGGAGCGAGAGGUGCGCGCCGAGGCCCAGAGCACGAGGACGAAGCUCCAGGUUUCUCAAAAUAAAAGGCCCGCUUGGUCGUGGAAAGGCAGAAGGAAGCUUCGGGAAAGACGCAGAGAUGGUCACGUAAUUGGGAAAACACUAAUUACUUUUCACGGAUCUGCAAUAUGCCCACUGUGUCAUCUAUGACAAAACUUCUGUAAGACUUUGGAGGUUCAUAACACAUAAUUUUGAGAACGUGUCCAAGCCUACAGGUGGUGGUUUCAGGCAGAAGAGGAGCUUCCAAGUUGAGAGUAGUAAACUGAACUGAGAUUUACCACCUUGCUGGUCAUAAUGCCAAGGGUGAUGCUUCCUGGGAUUAAAGGAGUGUGUUCACUGACCCUUCCAGGAUAUCCAGUCUUCAAUGGAGCUUUGUAAAAGAAUGUUCGCAGUCCCUCUGUUGCUAUGAAAAGACAUAUUCCAAUGUUGCAUGUUUUACUUAUUGGCCCUGACACCUUUAUUGUUCAUACAAGCACUCUAUAUUUAUGAAUACAAAUAGUUUACAAGCAGGCUAUUGAUUGGAUAAAACAACUUUUCAUAUCUGGAGUUGUAAACACUACAAUCUAAAGCCUUGAUUCAAAAGAGGAGACAGGUAGAGGAUAACCCCAAGAGCAGCCAGAAUUCUGGAGACAGCCAACUGAGGUGGAAAAGAGCAAAAGGAGGAGGAAAUGAGGGUGACAGGAAAUAAAGAGAAGGUAAAGACAAGGGCUGUGAAGAGA